AUGCCGAGGUGGAGUCGGAGGAAGGGGGGGAUGACGUCAAAUCAUCAGGCCCCUUAUGUCUUGGGCUUCACGCAUGCUACAAUGGCCGGUACAAAGGGCUGCGAUACCGCGAGGUGGAGCGAAUCCCAAAAAGCCGGUCUCAGUUCGGAUUGGGGUCUGCAACUCGACCCCAUGAAGUCGGAGUCGCUAGUAAUCGCAGAUCAGCAACGCUGCGGUGAAUACGUUCCCGGGCCUUGUACACACCGCCCAUCAAGUCAUGAAAGUCGGUAACACCCGAAGCCGAUGGCCCAACCUUUUGGGGGGAGUCUGGUUGGAAAGGGGGUAC
Molecule: ribosomal RNA, 325 nt
Filed under: Cellulomonas sp. CX4
Lineage: Bacteria; Bacillati; Actinomycetota; Actinomycetes; Micrococcales; Cellulomonadaceae
Description: partial 16S ribosomal RNA
Rfam family: Bacterial small subunit ribosomal RNA
Source: RNAcentral